RNAcentral lists this ribosomal RNA (254 nucleotides) under uncultured bacterium. RNAcentral describes it as "partial 16S ribosomal RNA". It matches the Rfam family "Bacterial small subunit ribosomal RNA", at positions 524 to 776 of the family's 1533-position model. The record is from RNAcentral.
UACGUAGGGUGCAAGCGUUGUCCGGAUUUAUUGGGCGUAAAGAGCUCGUAGGCGGUCUGUCGCGUCGGAUGUGAAAACCCAGGGCUCAACCCUCGGGCCUGCAUUCGAUACGGGCAGACUAGAGUACGGCAGGGGAGACUGGAAUUCCUGGUGUAGCGGUGAAAUGCGCAGAUAUCAGGAGGAACACCGGUGGCGAAGGCGGGUCUCUGGGCCGUUACUGACGCUGAGGAGCGAAAGCGUGGGGAGCGAACAGG